AUAUGGAGGAUCCGAGCGUUAUCCGGAUUUAUUGGGUUUAAAGGGUGCGCAGGCGGCCAUUUAAGUCAGCGGUUAAAUCGUGGGGCUCAACCCCAUUCUGCCGUUGAUACUGGGUGGCUUGAUUGCGGUCGAGGUUGGCGGAAUUCGUUGUGUAGCGGUGAAAUGCAUAGAUAUGACGAAGAACACCGAUUGCGUAGGCAGCUGACCAGAUCGCAAAUGACGCUCAUGCACGAAAGUGCGGGGAUCGAACAGGAUUAGAUACCCUGGUAGUCCGCACAGUAAACGAUGAAUACUUGUUUUCGGCGAUAUAAUGUCGGAGGCAAAGCGAAAGCGAUAAGUAUUCCACCUGGGGAGUACGCCGGCAACGGUGAAACUCAAAUGAAUUGACGGGG
This 392-nucleotide ribosomal RNA is filed under the name uncultured bacterium. RNAcentral describes it as "partial 16S ribosomal RNA". It matches the Rfam family "Bacterial small subunit ribosomal RNA", at positions 523 to 918 of the family's 1533-position model. The record is from RNAcentral.